RNAcentral lists this ribosomal RNA (442 nucleotides) under uncultured bacterium. RNAcentral describes it as "partial 16S ribosomal RNA". It matches the Rfam family "Bacterial small subunit ribosomal RNA", at positions 339 to 795 of the family's 1533-position model. The record is from RNAcentral.
CUACGGGUCGCACCAGUGGGGAAUAUUGGGCAAUGGGCGCAAGCCUGACCCAGCAACGCCGCGUGGGGGAAGAAUGUCUUCGGAUUGUAAACCUCUGUCCUUGGGGACGAAAAAAAUGACGGUACCCAAGGAGGAAGCUCCGGCUAACUACGUGCCAGCAGCCGCGGUAAUACGUAGGGAGCAAGCGUUGUCCGGAAUUAUUGGGCGUAAAGGGUGCGUAGGCGGCGCUGUAAGUCAGAUGUGAAAUCCCCGGGCUUAACUCGGGAGUUGCAUUUGAAACUACAGUGCUUGAGUAAAGAAGGGGUAAGUGGAAUUCCUAGUGUAGCGGUGGAAUGCGUAGAUAUCAGGAGGAACACCAGUGGCGAAGGCGACUUACUGGUCUUUUACUGACGCUGAGGCACGAAAGCGUGGGGAGCAAACAGGAUUAGAUACCCGCGUAGUC